This 713-nucleotide ribosomal RNA is filed under the name uncultured Bacillota bacterium. RNAcentral describes it as "bacterial SSU rRNA". It matches the Rfam family "Bacterial small subunit ribosomal RNA", at positions 212 to 917 of the family's 1533-position model. The record is from RNAcentral. Lineage: Bacteria; Bacillati; Bacillota.
CUAUCACUCUUGGAUGGACCUGCGGUGCAUUAGCUAGUUGGUAAGGUAACGGCUUACCAAGGCAAUGAUGCGUAGCCGAACUGAGAGGUUGAUCGGCCACAUUGGGACUGAGACACGGCCCAAACUCUACGGGAGGCAGCAGUAGGGAAUCUUCCACAAUGGACGAAAGUCUGAUGGAGCAACGCCGCGUGAGCGAAGAAGGGUUUCGGCUCGUAAAGCUCUGUUGGUAGUGAAGAAAGAUAGAGGUAGUAACUGGCCUUUAUUUGACGGUAAUUACUUAGAAAGUCACGGCUAACUACGUGCCAGCAGCCGCGGUAAUACGUAGGUGGCAAGCGUUGUCCGGAUUUAUUGGGCGUAAAGCGAGUGCAGGCGGUUCAAUAAGUCUGAUGUGAAAGCCUUCGGCUCAACCGGAGAAUUGCAUCAGAAACUGUUGAACUUGAGUGCAGAAGAGGAGAGUGGAACUCCAUGUGUAGCGGUGGAAUGCGUAGAUAUAUGGAAGAACACCAGUGGCGAAGGCGGCUCUCUGGUCUGCAACUGACGCUGAGGCUCGAAAGCAUGGGUAGCGAACAGGAUUAGAUACCCUGGUAGUCCAUGCCGUAAACGAUGAGUGCUAAGUGUUGGGAGGUUUCCGCCUCUCAGUGCUGCAGCUAACGCAUUAAGCACUCCGCCUGGGGAGUACGACCGCAAGGUUGCAACUCAAAGGAAUUGACGGA